Molecule: ribosomal RNA, 267 nt
Filed under: uncultured prokaryote
Description: partial 16S ribosomal RNA
Rfam family: Bacterial small subunit ribosomal RNA
Source: RNAcentral
GGACCCGCACAAGCGGUGGAGCAUGUGGUUUAAUUCGAAGCAACGCGAAGAACCUUACCAGGUCUUGACAUCCUUUGAAGCUUUUAGAGAUAGAAGUGUUCUCUUCGGAGACAAAGUGACAGGUGGUGCAUGGUCGUCGUCAGCUCGUGUCGUGAGAUGUUGGGUUAAGUCCCGCAACGAGCGCAACCCUUAUUGUUAGUUGCCAGCAUUCAGAUGGGCACUCUAGCGAGACUGCCGGUGACAAAACCCGGGAGGAAAGGGCGGGGG